RNAcentral lists this non-coding RNA (222 nucleotides) under Dialister micraerophilus. RNAcentral describes it as "T-box sequence". It matches the Rfam family "T-box leader". From Rfam's summary of the family: Uncharged tRNA acts as the effector for transcription antitermination of genes in the T-box leader family. The record is from RNAcentral. Lineage: Bacteria; Bacillati; Bacillota; Negativicutes; Veillonellales; Veillonellaceae.
ACAAACUUUACAAAAAGAAGAGUAAUCGAAGGGAAUUUUUUCAGAGAGCUUCGUUUGGUGAGAGAAGUAAAAGGAACUUUGAUGAAGAUGGUCUUUUUCUAGGAAAUGUCGAUAUGUAGGCAUUUACGGGAUCUCCCGUUACAGAGAUAAAGUAUGUUGGUACUUGAGAGUGGCAUUUUAUGCAAAAUAGGUGGUAACGCGGAAUAAAUUUUCGUCCUUGUU